This 254-nucleotide ribosomal RNA is filed under the name uncultured bacterium. Its description in RNAcentral is "partial 16S ribosomal RNA". It matches the Rfam family "Bacterial small subunit ribosomal RNA", at positions 524 to 776 of the family's 1533-position model. The record is from RNAcentral.
UACGUAGGUGGCGAGCGUUUGUCCGGAUUUAUUGGGCGUAAAGCGCGCGCAGGCGGUGCGGUAAGUCUGUCGUGAAAUCUCCCGGCUCAACUGGGAGGGUGCGGUGGAGACUGCCGGACUGGAGGCACUCAGAGGCCGGUGGAAUUCCCGGUGUAGUGGUGAAAUGCGUAGAGAUCGGGAGGAACACCAGUGGCGAAGGCGGCUGGCUGGGGGUGACCUGACGCUGAGGCGCGAAAGCGUGGGGAGCGAACCGG